RNAcentral lists this ribosomal RNA (239 nucleotides) under uncultured bacterium. Its description in RNAcentral is "partial 16S ribosomal RNA". It matches the Rfam family "Bacterial small subunit ribosomal RNA", at positions 96 to 334 of the family's 1533-position model. The record is from RNAcentral.
UGGCGGACGGGUGAGUAACGCGUGGGUAACCUGCCUUGUACUGGGGGACGAACAGUUAGAAAUGACUGCUAAUACCGCAUAAGCGCACAGUAUCGCAUGAUACCGUGUGAAAAACUCCGGUGGUACAAGAUGGACCCGCGUCUGAUUAGCUAGUUGGUAAGGUAACGGCUUACCAAGGCGACGAUCAGUAGCCGGCCUGAGAGGGUGAACGGCCACAUUGGGACUGAGACACGGCCCAA